AGUGGCGGACGGGUGAGUAACGCGUGAGAAUCUGCCUUGGGGUCGGGGACAACCACUGGAAACGGUGGCUAAUACCGGAUAAGCCGAUUGGUGAAAGAUUUAUUGCCCGAAGAGGAGCUCGCGUCUGAUUAGCUAGUUGGUGAGGUAAGAGCUCACCAAGGCAGCGAUCAGUAGCUGGUCUGAGAGGACGAUCAGCCACACUGGGACUGAGACACGGCCCAGACUCCUACGGGAGGCAGCAGUGGGGAAUUUUCCGCAAUGGGCGAAAGCCUGACGGAGCAAGACCGCGUGAGGGAGGAAGGCUCUUGGGUUGUAAACCUCUUUUCUCAGGGAAGAAGCUCUGACGGUACCUGAGGAAUCAGCCUCGGCUAACUCCGUGCCAGCAGCCGCGGUAAUACGGAGGAGGCAAGCGUUAUCCGGAAUUAUUGGGCGUAAAGCGUCCGCAGGUGGCGAUUCAAGUCUGCUGUCAAAGCACGGGGCUUAACUCCGUAAAGGCAGUGGAAACUGAAUAGCUAGAGUGCCGUAGGGGUAGAGGGAAUUCCCGGUGUAGCGGUGAAAUGCGUAGAGAUCGGGAAGAACAUCGGUGGCGAAAGCGCUCUACUGGACGGCAACUGACACUCAGGGACGAAAAGCUAGGGGAGCGAAUGGGAUUAGAUACCCC
Molecule: ribosomal RNA, 661 nt
Filed under: uncultured bacterium
Lineage: Bacteria
Description: bacterial SSU rRNA
Rfam family: Bacterial small subunit ribosomal RNA
Source: RNAcentral